This 429-nucleotide ribosomal RNA is filed under the name Bacillota bacterium. RNAcentral's name for it is "Firmicutes bacterium partial 16S ribosomal RNA". It matches the Rfam family "Bacterial small subunit ribosomal RNA", at positions 355 to 776 of the family's 1533-position model. Lineage: Bacteria; Bacillati; Bacillota. The record is from RNAcentral.
UAGGUAAUCUUCGGCAAUGGACGGCAGUCUGCCCGAGCAACGCCGCGUGAGUGCAGAAGGUUUUCGGAUCGUACCGCUCUGUUGUUAGAGAAGAACGUUGGUCGGCGUUGAAAAUCUACCACGUGCCGGUCACUACCCAUCAAGGGACGGCUAACUACUUUCCAGCAGCCGCGUUAAUACGUAGGUCCCGAGCGUUGUCCGGAUUUAUUGGGCGUAAAGCGAGCGCAGGCGGUUCUUUAAGUCUGAAGUUAAAGGCAGUGGCUUAACCAUUGUACGCUUUGGAAACUGGAGGACUUGAGUGCAGAAGGGGAGAGUGGAAUUCCAUGUGUAGCGGUGAAAUGCGUAGAUAUAUGGAGGAACACCGGUGGCGAAAGCGGCUCUCUGGUCUGUAACUGACGCUGAGGCUCGAAAGCGUGGGGAGCAAACAGG